UGUGUAGGCGGUCUUUUAAGUUUGGUGUGAAAUCUCCCGGCUCAACCGGGAGGGUGCGCCGAAAACUGGGAGACUCGAGUGCGGGAUGGGAGAGUAGAAUUCCUGGUGUAGCGGUGAAAUGCGUAGAUAUCAGGAGGAAUACCGGUGGUGCAGACGGCUCUCUGGACCGCCACUGACGCUGAGACACGAAAGCGUGGGUAGCAAACA
Molecule: ribosomal RNA, 207 nt
Filed under: uncultured bacterium
Lineage: Bacteria
Description: partial 16S ribosomal RNA
Rfam family: Bacterial small subunit ribosomal RNA
Source: RNAcentral